GCAUGGGAGGGAUAGAAUGCUAGUCGUGCGCCUUCUAGCCACGCUGAAGGCGCGGCACACAGCUCAGUAACACGUGGCUAACCUGCCCUCGGGACGAGAACAUCCCCGGGAAACUGGGGUCAAUUCUCGAUAGGUGAAGAUUCCUGGAAUGGGUCUUCGCCCGAAAGGACGUUUAGGUCAUGCUUCUAGACGUUGCCCGAGGAUGGGGCCGCGGCCGAUCAGGCUGUUGGUGAGGUAAAGGCUCACCAAACCUUUGACCGGUUCGGGCCGUGGGAGCGGGAGCCCGGAGAUGGGCACUGAGACAAGGGCCCAGGCCCUACGGGGCGCAGCAGUCGCGAAAACUCCGCAAUACGCGAAGGCGUGACGGGGCUAUCCCGAGUGCCGUCCGCUGAGGAUGGCUUUUCCCCAGUGUAGAUAGCUGGGGGAAUAAGGAGAGGGCAAGUCUGGUGUCAGCCGCCGCGGUAAUACCAGCUCUCCGAGUGGUGGGGACGUUUAUUGGGCCUGAAGCAUCCGUAGCCAGCUGAGCAAGUCCCCAGUUAAAUCCAGCGAUUUAAUCGUUGGACUGCUGGGGAUACUGUCCGGCUAGGGGGUGGGAGAGGCCAACGGUAUUCCCGGGGUAGGGGUGAAAUCCUAUAAUCCCGGGAGGACCACCAGUGGCGAAGGCUGUUGGCUAGAACAUGCCCGACGGUGAGGGAUGAAAGCUGGGGGAGCGAACCGGAUUAGAUACCCGGGUAGUCCCAGCUGUAAACGAUGCAGGCUAGGUGUUAGGGCGGCCACGUGCCGCUCUAGUGCCGCAGGGAAACUGUUAAGCCUGCCGCCUGGGGAGUACGGCCGCAAGGCUGAAACUUAAAGGAAUUGGCGGGGGAGCACCACAAGGGGUGAAGCCUGCGGUUCAAUUGGAGUCAACGCCGGG
RNAcentral lists this ribosomal RNA (913 nucleotides) under uncultured archaeon. RNAcentral's name for it is "bacterial SSU rRNA". It matches the Rfam family "Archaeal small subunit ribosomal RNA", at positions 36 to 922 of the family's 1478-position model. The record is from RNAcentral.